GCUCUUCCGAUCUCGAAAAGAACCCCGGCGAGGGGAGUGAAAAAGAACCUGAAACCGUGUACGUACAAGCAGUGGGAGCACAGGUUUACCUGUGUGACUGCGUACCUUUUGUAUAAUGGGUCAGCGACUUAUAUUCUGUAGCAAGGUUAACCGCAUAGGGGAGCCGGAGGGAAACCGAGUCUUAAUUGGGCGUUAAGUUGCAGGGUAUAGACCCGAAACCCGGUGAUCUAGCCAUGGGCAGGUUGAAGGUUGGGUAACACUAACUGGAGGACCGAACCGACUAAUGUUGAAAAAUUAGCGGAUGACCUGUGGCUGGGGGUGAAAGGCCAAUCAAACCGGGAGAUAGCUGGUUCUCCCCGAAAGCUAUUUAGGUAGCGCCUCGUGAAUUCAUCUCCGGGGGUAGAGCACUGUUUCGGCUAGGGGGCCAUCCCGGCUUACCAACCCGAUGCAAACUGCGAAUACCGGAGAAUGUUAUCACGGGAGACACACGGCGGGUGCUAACGUCCGUCGUGAAGAGGGAAACAACCCAGACCGCCAGCUAAGGUCCCAAAGUCAUGGUUAAGUGGGAAACGAUGUGGGAAGGCCCAGACAGCCAGGAUGUUGGCUUAGAAGCAGCCAUCAUUUAAAGAAAGCGUAAUAGCUCACUGGUCGAGUCGGCCUGCGCGGAAGAUGUAACGGGGCUAAACCAUGCACCGAAGCUGCGGCAGCGACGCUGAUGCGUUGUUGGGUAGGGGAGCGUUCUGUAAGCCUGUGAAGGUGGCCUGUGAGGGUUGCUGGAGGUAUCAGAAGUGCGAAUGCUGACAUAAGUAACGAUAAAGCGGGUGAAAAGCCCGCUCGCCGGAAGACCAAGGGUUCCUGUCCAACGUUAAUCGGGGCAGGGUGAGUCGACCCCUAAGGCGAGGCCGAAAGGCGUAGUCGAUGGGAAACGGGUUAAUAUUCCCGUACUUGGUGUUACUGCGAAGGGGGGACGGAGAAGGCUAUGUUGGCCGGGCGACGGUUGUCCCGGUUUAAGCGUGUAGGUGUGUGUUCCAGGUAAAUCCGGUUCACUUUAACACUGAGGCGUGAUGACGAGGCACUACGGUGCUGAAGCAACAAAUGCCCUGCUUCCAGGAAAAGCCUCUAAGCAUCAGGUAACAUCAAAUCGUACCCCAAACCGACACAGGUGGUCAGGUAGAGAAUACCAAGGCGCUUGAGAGAACUCGGGUGAAGGAACUAGGCAAAAUGGUGCCGUAACUUCGGGAGAAGGCACGCUGACAUGUAGGUGAAGUGAUUUACUCACGGAGCUGAAGUCAGUCGAAGAUACCAGCUGGCUGCAACUGUUUAUUAAAAACACAGCACUGUGCAAACACGAAAGUGGACGUAUACGGUGUGACGCCUGCCCGGUGCCGGAAGGUUAAUUGAUGGGGUCAGCGCAAGCGAAGCUCCUGAUCGAAGCCCCGGUAAACGGCGGCCGUAACUAUAACGGUCCUAAGGUAGCGAAAUUCCUUGUCGGGUAAGUUCCGACCUGCACGAAUGGCGUAAUGAUGGCCAGGCUGUCUCCACCCGAGACUCAGUGAAAUUGAACUCGCUGUGAAGAUGCAGUGUACCCGCGGCAAGACGGAAAGACCCCGUGAACCUUUACUAUAGCUUGACACUGAACAUUGAGCCUUGAUGUGUAGGAUAGGUGGGAGGCUUUGAAGUGUGGACGCCAGUCUGCAUGGAGCCGACCUUGAAAUACCACCCUUUAAUGUUUGAUGUUCUAACGUGGACCCGUUACCCGGGUUGCGGACAGUGUCUGGUGGGUAGUUUGACUGGGGCGGUCUCCUCCUAAAGAGUAACGGAGGAGCACGAAGGUUGGCUAAUCCUGGUCGGACAUCAGGAGGUUAGUGCAAUGGCAUAAGCCAGCUUGACUGCGAGCGUGACGGCGCGAGCAGGUGCGAAAGCAGGUCAUAGUGAUCCGGUGGUUCUGAAUGGAAGGGCCAUCGCUCAACGGAUAAAAGGUACUCCGGGGAUAACAGGCUGAUACCGCCCAAGAGUUCAUAUCGACGGCGGUGUUUGGCACCUCGAUGUCGGCUCAUCACAUCCUGGGGCUGAAGUAGGUCCCAAGGGUAUGGCUGUUCGCCAUUUAAAGUGGUACGCGAGCUGGGUUUAGAACGUCGUGAGACAGUUCGGUCCCUAUCUGCCGUGGGCGCUGGAGAACUGAGGGGGGCUGCUCCUAGUACGAGAGGACCGGAGUGGACGCAUCACUGGUGUUCGGGUUGUCAUGCCAAUGGCACUGCCCGGUAGCUAAAUGCGGAAGAGAUAAGUGCUGAAAGCAUCUAAGCACGAAACUUGCCCCGAGAUGAGUUCU
This 2329-nucleotide ribosomal RNA is filed under the name Salmonella enterica subsp. enterica serovar Cubana. RNAcentral's name for it is "bacterial LSU rRNA". It matches the Rfam family "Bacterial large subunit ribosomal RNA", at positions 486 to 2812 of the family's 2925-position model. The record is from RNAcentral. Lineage: Bacteria; Pseudomonadati; Pseudomonadota; Gammaproteobacteria; Enterobacterales; Enterobacteriaceae.